GAUGAAGAACGUAGCGAAAUGCGAUAAGUAAUGUGAAUUGCAGAAUUCAGUGAAUCAUCGAAUCUUUGAACGCACAUUGCGCCCGCCAGUAUUCUGGCGGGCAUGCCUGUUCGAGCGUCGUUUCAACCCUCAAGCCCAGCUUGGUGUUGGGGAUCGGCACAGGCGCCCUCGGGCGCCCGCCGUCCCCUAAAUCUAGUGGCGGUCCCGCUGCAGCCUCCUCUGCGUAGUAGUUUUCUCCUCGCAAGGGCAGCUCGGUGGCGACCUCGCCGUAAAACCCCCAACUUCUGAAAGGUUGACCUCGAAUCAGGUAGGAAUACCCGCUGAACUUAAGCAUAUCAAUAAGCGGAGGA
This 350-nucleotide unclassified non-coding RNA is filed under the name soil metagenome. RNAcentral's name for it is "partial contains 5.8S ribosomal RNA, internal transcribed spacer 2, and large subunit ribosomal RNA". The stretch from base 1 to 120 matches the Rfam family "5.8S ribosomal RNA", at positions 35 to 154 of the family's 154-position model. The record is from RNAcentral.